This 77-nucleotide small RNA is filed under the name Xanthomonas vasicola. RNAcentral's name for it is "sX9 sRNA". It matches the Rfam family "Xanthomonas sRNA sX9". RNAcentral also lists the same sequence under 9 other names. The record is from RNAcentral. Lineage: Bacteria; Pseudomonadati; Pseudomonadota; Gammaproteobacteria; Lysobacterales; Lysobacteraceae.
AUAUGUCACUCGUACACUCCGCUUCUGAGCGCGCCGUCCGCGCCCACCUGACGGCUGCUCGCUACGUUUUGUCAGCC